This 572-nucleotide ribosomal RNA is filed under the name uncultured bacterium. RNAcentral's name for it is "partial 16S ribosomal RNA". It matches the Rfam family "Bacterial small subunit ribosomal RNA", at positions 355 to 918 of the family's 1533-position model. The record is from RNAcentral.
UGGGGAAUUUUGGACAAUGGGCGAAAGCCUGAUCCAGCAAUGCCGCGUGUGUGAAGAAGGCCUUCGGGUUGUAAAGCACUUUUGUCCGGAAAGAAAUCCUUGGCUCUAAUACAGUCGGGGGAUGACGGUACCGGAAGAAUAAGCACCGGCUAACUACGUGCCAGCAGCCGCGGUAAUACGUAGGGUGCAAGCGUUAAUCGGAAUUACUGGGCGUAAAGCGUGCGCAGGCGGUUUGCUAAGACCGAUGUGAAAUCCCCGGGCUCAACCUGGGAACUGCAUUGGUGACUGGCAGGCUAGAGUAUGGCAGAGGGGGGUAGAAUUCCACGUGUAGCAGUGAAAUGCGUAGAGAUGUGGAGGAAUACCGAUGGCGAAGGCAGCCCCCUGGGCCAAAUACUGACGCUCAUGCACGAAAGCGUGGGGGAGCAAACAGGAUUAGAUACCCUGGUAGUCCACGCCCUAAACGAUGUCAACUAGUUGUUGGGGAUUCAUUUCCUUAGUAACGUAGCUAACGCGUGAAGUUGACCGCCUGGGGAGUACGGUCGCAAGAUUAAAACUUAAAGGAAUUGACGGGG